Molecule: long non-coding RNA, 4489 nt
Filed under: Mus musculus (house mouse)
Lineage: Eukaryota; Metazoa; Chordata; Mammalia; Rodentia; Muridae
Description: long non-coding RNA chr4:140075156-140079645
Source: RNAcentral
GAGGAGAGGUGGAGACAGGAGAGUCACUGGGAAGCUGUGGGUCAGCUAGCACAGGGGCAGGGACCACAAGAAGGAAAGUACUGAUUCAGUGUGGUAGAAGAAGAGAUUCCACUACCUCUGAAAGAUGCUCUUUGGCCUACAUACAUGUGCUGUGGAGGGCACGCGUGCGCACACACACACACACACACACACACACACACACACACACACACACACACACACACUUGCUCUAUCUCUCCGUGACACUCUAUCUCUGUCUCCCUCCACCCACAUACAUAUAUAUUUUUUUUUUAAAAUCUUUUAACUUGGUGUAGCACCAGUUUGGGGUUGGAGCCUUUAACGCAGAGCCCCAUUUUUUGUCACUACCUUGCCAUUCCUUUGUCCAUACCACCAGACCACGAGCCAUUGUGUGGAUCUGGCUGUGAGUGUUAUCCCGCCAUGUGGGCAUCUUUAUCUGUCUGACCACUGAUGGUCGCUUGUGUUGCUUUAGGCUCUCACCAUUAGCCAGGCAGCCGCAAUGCAUCCAUGGGUAUCUGCUUUCGUUUCUCCUGUGUGCUCACAGAGGGACAACAUGGCUGGGUGUGCUCAACCUUCCUAACACUGCCACCCUUUAACACAGUUCCUCACAUUGUGGAAACCUCCACCCAUAAAAUUAUUUUUGUUGCUACUUCAUAACUGUAAUUUUGCUACUGUUAUGAAUUGUAAUGUAAAUAUUUGAUGCUCACAAUAUCUGAUUCUGAUAUGCCACCCCCGCAAAUGGGUUGUUCAACUCCCCGAAGGGGUCGCGACCCACAGGUUGAGAACCACUGCUCUAAAGGGCUCCGAUAAGUACCCCUUCCCUCGCCUCAGUGCCUUUUUGGCCUUUAUUUUUUGUGUUUAAAAAUGUCAUCACAUUUAUUUAUUUAUUGUAUGUGCAUUGGUGUGCAUAAGCAUAGACAUGGCGUGACACACGUGUAGAGGUCAGAUGACAAGCAGUGGGGGUCAGUUUUCUUUCACCGUAAGUAGGUUCUGGGAGUCAGAUUCGGGUUGUCCAGCUCGGCAGCAAACACCUUUACCUGGUGAGUCAGUUUCCCAAUCCUCUCAGAUUUAAUUAUGUUCAAAGUGUAUUAUUUUGGGUGUGAGUGGAUGUACACAUAUAGGCGUGUGAUUUGUGGCAUGUAUUGGUGGCUAGGGGACAACAUUGUGGAGUCAUUUCUCUUUUCCCAGGGGUUGAGCUCAGACGAGCGCAUGCGUACGUGGAGAUGUGUACUAUCAUGCCUUUACCUGCUGAGCCAGCUCCUCUGAUUGAGCUCUGCCGUUCUACGUAGGCCACUCGUGAGCCUCCUAAAAGCAUCUCUUCUGCACACCUGUCCUGGGCAUCCAACCUGCUUCCCUAGCUAAGGUGCUCAUUGGCAGUGAGCUUUACACCAGAACUCCAAAUCCAGCAGGCAGCAGGGGUGCAGCAUGGGUGGAAAGGCUCCUGGGCCGUGGGUGAACCCUAGUGGUGGAGUAUAAACUUUUCAGGCCCCGAUACAGCAGUACCAACCAGACAAAACAGAUUGGGAAAGUGGUAGGGAGUGGUUUGUCACUGAGAUGCAAGCCGGUUCCUCUGGUCCCCUCUUCCCCAUUCCUUGCAUUGGUAGGGUACAUACAUUCAGGGACAGACAGACUUCUUCCUUCCUUCCAUCAUGGGCCUCUCCUUCGAACAGGACCUCUCUUUUCUGUUCUCCUCUCUUCCCUCCACCCCCCUUCCCCAGCCCAUCCAGUCUGCUCCACCUGCAUCCUGCUGCCAUGGUGAUCUCCUAACCGUGGGGAUGCAACCCAUCCCUCCCCACACUUGCAGCCCACUCCAGGCUUCCUUUGUAAGGAUCAAGUCCAGUGUAGCUGCAAGCUCAGAUCUGGCUCAGGCCCAAAAAGGAGGAAGGAGGGAACAGAUGGAGGGAAGAAAAUGGCGUGUGGCCUCAUGUCUCGUGCCAAAAUCCAGCAAUCAAAUGAGGAGACUCUUCAGGACCAAACUUGUAUAAUGCACUCUAUUUAAACGGCAUUUUGUAAUUCAAACGUCUUCAUUUAUACACUCGAGGCACCUCGUUGCGGGCUAAGAGUGCGGAUUCAGGUAGCAAUGGGUCCUCUGAGGCCGCACUUUAAUGAAGAGAUGAAAGUACCUUUUCAUUUGGACAGCAUUGUUUGCAUGGAAACCAAGCCUCUGAGGGGCUGGGAAGAGUUCUUUCUUGCAAGUAGGUUAAACACACCCCCUGCAAUCUUAUGAGCUGAGAGCCUGCUGGGCUCAGCUGUCCCUCACCCCUGCUGGAAAGAGACCAAGUGUGGGGUUAUGAAGUUUGUCCAGCUCUUGAAGCCACCGGGCUGCCUCCAAUGGCUGCUCUGCUGCCUCCUCUGCAGCCCCCCGUGUCUCCCUCAAACACCUGUUUCCCUCUCAGUUCAGAGUCAUGCCCACUGGUGCUGAUGCUUGCUUUGCCUUGGCAGAGCUAAUAAAAAUGGCCGUAAAGUCUCUGGCAGCCUUGGGUGCUGUUGGACAUUUGCUAAUAAGAGCUGCUUACUCCUUGUAGGAAAGCUAAAGGUGAAGUGCGGUUCCUGCCCUGUGUCUCGUCUCGUGUUUGUGCCUGUGCAAUUGGAAGAGUUUGGCCCGGGACUGGGAAUAAUUUAAUAUGGGCCAGUCGUCCAGAUGUGCACUUGCUCAGCCAGCCCCAGCUGUUCCCUGUCCCUAGCUGUCUUCCUAGCCUUCUAUCUUCCGCUUAGAGGCAACCUCCCUCAUAGUCCCUUUCAAUGUCCCAAGCCUGGGAGACAGACUAGUUACUGGUGGGAGAAUUGGGCCCCCGGGAGGUAUCUGGGGACAACAGGAAAGGAUACUGACAACUUGGCUGGGGGUGGGCUCCUCAGUGGAAGACCCCGCUUGGUGCUGGAUACAUUGAUCAACCUUAGGCAAGCACAGAAAUCCCCCUGGGAGCCUGCCAGCCAAAGGUGGGCCAAGGCAUCUCACAGGCUCUGCAGGGGGUGGGGGUGGGGAGCUGAGGCUACAGCUGGCCAGUGCACAUACCUGGGGUCUCCUGUUCUUGGUUCUCCCUGUGAUCUGGGACUUUCCUUCUGUUGAAAUUUGCCCAUAAAACAGGCUAGGUGGUUCCAGGUGGGGGCUUCUCCAACCCCCAAACCGGAAGGUAGAACUUGCAUAUGCUUGGACCAUAGCAGGUGCCAAUGGACAGAAUUAAAGGACAGAUGUCACAGCCCUUCAGGGUUCCCCUCAACCACGGGGGCUGUCAGAAAGCUAAUCACACACACAAACAUUCACACACUCACACACGCAUACACACACACACAUUCACGACAGCCUCUAUCCUGCUCUCUGGAGCCUCUCUGUUCCUAGCCACUUCUGCUAGCUUCAAUGCCUCCCUGACUUUCAUUCCCCCUAGAGAUGGACUUAGAGUCAAGCCUAGUCUAGAAGAAACACAGACUCUGGACCCAGGCCAAGGGCAGCAUGUGUCAUCUGACUUGAUGAAAGUCACCUGCAGUGGUGAUACUUGAGUCACCCUCAAGCACUGUGUGGGCACAUCCCUGAGCCACUUGGUAACAAAGAGGGAAGUUGAACUCCCAGAAGACAGGACAGAACAGUCUAGAAUUAAAAAUGGCGACGGCCUUACACCUACACACACCUCUUGUGACGCACCUCAAUUUUCUCUUUCAGAAAGCCCUUUGCAAAAGCCCGCUGGAGAAGGGUGGAUUCACAAAGGUGACAUGGGGGGAGGGGCAGAUGAAGGAAGAGGCUGUCCCUGGAGUUGAGAAGACAUCUCAGUGUUUUUUGCCUUGCAAGAACCUAAGUUCAAGUUCCAGAAUCCAGAACCCAGAAUCCAUGUGAAAAUGGCUUGCAUGGUGGGGAGCACUUGCCAUGGUGGGGAGCACUUGCCAUGAUGCGGGAGCACUUGCCAUGGUGAGGAGUACUUGUAAUCCCAGCAUGAAGGAGGCAGAGACAAGAGGAUUCUAAGCUAAUGGACGCACUCCAUAAAGGCCCCUCUCAAAACACAAUAUAGGUGACAUUAAGGAACAGUCCUUGAGACUGACCUCUGGCCUCCACACACAGUGCCUGUCCCUUGAGCAAAGGCACCUCCCCCACAGACACGGAAUGUAAAUAGUUUUGUUCUUCCCUUCCCAGACUGCCUAGUACAGCCUGCUUAUCUAACCGGUGUGACCAUCUAAGUCCUGGGUCUGUGUGGGGUGGCAGGAGGGGUGUCCCUGACUUGCCCGGUUUCAGCAGAGAGUCCUCAGGUCCAGCAUGCCAGAGUGGCUGGCCACCUCCCAUUUAACAGGCAAGAAUACUAAGGAGAGGGGUGUGACACUGGCCAGCAGCAGAUGAAGAGAGGAUGGGCCCAGCUACAGGGCCUGGCAUGAACACUCCCUGCAGGUGCUUGAGGAAGGGCGACCUGAUAAACCGUGCCAGGUAGCGCUCCUAUAGGGACGGAUGCAUAGUGGCACUCAGAGCCCUGUGGCAAUGGUUGCUGUGAGC